AGAAGACAGCCUCCGGGGUGCUUGCUAGAAGACCCUCAAGCUCCUGGCCCAGACAGCUGGAAGGAAGGCCGGGCUUUGCUCUGGAGGACCACUGGGCUGGCGAGGAACAUUCGAUGAGGAUUGGGGAGAUGAAGUGAUUUGUGAUAUUUUGUAUACGACUAGAGCGACAUACUAAAACACACGCAAGAUCUGUCUUGAAAAAUGCUGUUGCCGGGGACCCUCAGAUCAUGUUACCUGAGCAUCCUCAGAUGAACCAAGCAUGCAAUCAGAGGGAGAAUGUCGCGUAUCCAGUGUUCACCUCUGAUACCCACAUCCACCCCCAAGCGAUGCGCACCUUCUCACUGACCUUCUCUGCUUGGAUCAGAGGCAGUUUUCUUAUUUCCUUGCCUCGAGGUGCUGUGUCAUACAGCAGCAGGAACAGACAGUCAGACACAAGGACUCGAGGCAAUGGCGGCGGCUGUGUAUGGGGAUUGACUCGGCACCUGGGACUCAAGACGAGAUAACCGCUUUAUCAGAUUAAAGACUGCGAUUGGCAAA
RNAcentral lists this long non-coding RNA (537 nucleotides) under Homo sapiens (human). Its description in RNAcentral is "HSALNT0408303". The record is from RNAcentral. Lineage: Eukaryota; Metazoa; Chordata; Mammalia; Primates; Hominidae.